AUGGACUCAUCUCAUUUAGGAAUUCUCGCAUUUGGGGAUUGUCUGGUUUGUCUAGUGGGAUAUCUACACUGCCACCGGCCUCCAUCUAGUCUAGUACUGUCAUUCCUCUGGAUUUCUGAUUUUCCUCGUGUACACGUGCCAGUAGUUGGGAGCUGUGGCUUUGCGGCUGUCACGUCUCCACUCUCUGCCCUUCGUUUUCUUUUUCCGGUGCUGGCACAUGACGACCUUUCAGGCGGUCACCUGUGCAGCCCUUUUUAACCUGGACAAGAACUGUGGUGCGAAUUGUGUACAGUAACUUCCCUCUGCUCACAUGGAGCACGUCGGUGCCGAAUUCUUUAACUCUCUCCUCAGGCGUAACCAGGCUAGGCGUUGGUCGGGAAUGGCUUGAACGGCCUCAGCUCAAGGUGGAAAAUCGGAAGGAAUCGGUGAUUCUGGAAAUCAAGAGUAAUUUUGGAAGAACCAUGCCAAUAUCCGGAGAACACUGGCCCUAUUCAUCAGGGGUUGACUUUGAGGGUUCCAGUGUGCGAUGGGACCCCUGGGGUACAACCUGAAACUGGGGUGUGCCGUGCCCCCUUAACUCUCCAGCCUGGACAGUGCAAUACCAGUGACAUGCAGCAAACCCCUGCAGGAGCUGUGAUCACUCAGCCGUCAGCAGGUGGAGCUCCACACCCAGCUGAGUUGCAUGAAUGCUUCCUGAGCCACUCACACAGAGAAAGGCACCAGCCAAAUCCCCCAGCUCCCAGCCUUGCACCCCAGAAAUAUACCAUCUUGCACUGCUCAGGACUCCUUGGACAGUGCAAGCUCGUUAAUUAGUUUGCCACUCCGACAAAGGGUAGUGGUCAUGCAACGGCCUGUGUUAACCUGAGCUGGGAGUCUCUCAACACUUCAACCCAAACCACCUUGUUUUAGAUCAAACAUAAACCAGAUUUAUUAACUACAGAAAGACAGAUUGUAAGUGAUUAUAAGUGUUAGAAUCGCACUCUGAAUUCGAUUUCUGACCUCUGUGCCUAUUUUUAAUUUUAACAGACUAAGCAAGAGUUGAAUCAAACAACUUUUCUCACCCCACUGGAUGUUCCAGGCAGCUCACAGUUCUCAGUUCACCGGCUGGAUUCCCCUCUCAGCCUGGGACCAAUCUCCCCAGUUCAGAGUCUUUGUCUUCCAGCCUGUCUUCCAGGUGUUGAGAUGGGGGAGGUGAGAAGCCAAAUGGUGACGUCAUCGACCCUCAUUUAUACUUUCUCUCCGGGUGCUAGAAAGAUCC
This 1258-nucleotide long non-coding RNA is filed under the name Chrysemys picta bellii (western painted turtle). RNAcentral's name for it is "lncRNA (ENSCPBG00000005813.1)". The record is from RNAcentral. Lineage: Eukaryota; Metazoa; Chordata; Testudines; Emydidae.